GUCCUAGCCCUAAACGAUGUUCAUUAGAUGUGGGAGGUAUCGACCCCUUCCGCGUCGGCGCUAACGCAUUAAAUGAACCGCCUGGGGAGUACGGCCGCAAGGUUGAAACUCAAAGGAAUUGACGGGGGCCCGCACAAGCUGUGGAGUAUGUGGUUUAAUUCGACGCAACGCGAAGAACCUUACCUGGGCUUGAACUACUCGUGUUAGGUACUCGAAAGAGUGGCUGACCCGCAAGGGAGCGAGCAGAGGUGCUGCAUGGUUGUCGU
RNAcentral lists this ribosomal RNA (266 nucleotides) under uncultured bacterium. RNAcentral's name for it is "partial 16S ribosomal RNA". It matches the Rfam family "Bacterial small subunit ribosomal RNA", at positions 793 to 1055 of the family's 1533-position model. The record is from RNAcentral.